CCCUUAGAUGUCCGGGGCCGCACGCGCGCUACACUGAAGGAAUCAGCGUGGCUUUCUCCCUGACCCGAAAGGGUUGGGAAACCCGUUGAAUCUCCUUCGUGAUAGGGAUUGGGGCUUGAAAUUGUUCCCCAUGGACGAGGAAUUCCCAGUAAGCGCGAGUCAUAAGCUCGCGUUGAUUACGUCCCUGCCCUUUGUACACACCGCCCGUCGCUACUACCGAUUGAAUGGUUUAGUGAGAUCUUCGGAUUAGCGCCACUGCGGCUCAGCAAUGGGCUCGGUGGAUGCCGAAAAGUUGAUCAAACUUGAUCAUUUAGAGGAAGUAAAAGUCGUAACA
RNAcentral lists this ribosomal RNA (334 nucleotides) under uncultured eukaryote. RNAcentral describes it as "partial 18S ribosomal RNA". It matches the Rfam family "Eukaryotic small subunit ribosomal RNA", at positions 1470 to 1796 of the family's 1831-position model. The record is from RNAcentral.